Molecule: ribosomal RNA, 465 nt
Filed under: uncultured Thiobacillus sp.
Lineage: Bacteria; Pseudomonadati; Pseudomonadota; Betaproteobacteria; Nitrosomonadales; Thiobacillaceae
Description: bacterial SSU rRNA
Rfam family: Bacterial small subunit ribosomal RNA
Source: RNAcentral
UGACGGGACCGCACAAGCGGUGGAUGAUGUGGUUUAAUUCGAUGCAACGACGAAAACCUUACCCACCUUUGACAUGGCAGGAAUCCUGAAGAGAUUUGGGAGUGCUCGAAAGAGAACCUGCACACAGGUGCUGCAUGGCUGUCGUCAGCUCGUGUCGUGAGAUGUUGGGUUAAGUCCCGCAACGAGCGCAACCCUUGCCAUUAGUUGCUACGAAAGGGCACUCUAAUGGGACUGCCGGUGACAAACCGGAGGAAGGUGGGGAUGACGUCAAGUCCUCAUGGCCCUUAUGGGUAGGGCUUCACACGUCAUACAAUGGUCGGUACAGAGGGUUGCCAAGCCGCGAGGUGGAGCCAAUCCCAGAAAGCCGAUCGUAGUCCGGAUUGUUCUCUGCAACUCGAGAGCAUGAAGUCGGAAUCGCUAGUAAUCGCGGAUCAGCAUGUCGCGGUGAAUACGUUCCCGGGUCUU